AGAAAUUCGUGGAUAUCAUGUAGAUUAGCUGCGUCAAGUUAUUGGUUUAGUGUUAUUUUUUGUUAUUAUGUCUUGUUAUCAUGUUUUUGUUAUUGUUUAACUGUACUCAUCUCCUUCAGGCCACAUUUAGGUAUAUGGUUAAAGCCGAUACGCUCGCAAUUCAUUUAAAUAGUUUUAGCUAACAUUGAAUUUACUGUAGCCAUCUCGCGAGUGGUUAAUUAAAACUUAUCUAGUGUGUUGGAUUUUGGUCUCUGGGUGCAGCGCAGUAACUAAUAGCUUCAGGAAAAUUAAACUUCAAUGUAAUGAUGUAAAAAGUUAAUGAGCGUAGCCUAGCCUAUCGCAUUUUGGUAACGGGGAAAGUCAGGUUAGGUAAUGUUAGCUUAGAUUGUUAGGUCAGGUUAGGUUAGGUUACGGGGUUAGAUUGUUCAGCCAGGUCAGGUUGAGUUAAAUUUAGUUUGGUUAGAAAUUAAGUUUUAACGGGGGAAGUUAGGUUAGGUAAAAUUAGCUUAGAUUGUUAGGUCAGGUUAGGUAAGGUUAGCUUAGAUUGUUAGGUCAGGUUAGGUUAGGUUACGGGGAAAGUUAGAUUGUUCAGCCAGGUCAGGUUGAGUUAAAUUUAGUUCAGUUAGAAAUUAAGUUUUAACGGGGGAAGUUAGGUUAGGUAAAAUUAGCUUAGAUUGUUAGGUCAGGUUAGGUAAGGUUAGCUUAGAUUGUUAGGCCAGGUUAGGUUAGGUUACGGGGUAAGUUAGAUCGUUCAGCCAGGUCAGGUUGAGUUAAAUUUAGUUCGGUUAGAAAUUAAGUUUAAUUAGGCUAUUAUUUAUGACAAAUCCGUGUGAUAUAUUUUGCGCUGCGCCGUUAUUGUAAUUGGCAAGCCUGGGAUUAAGAACAGGACGGACAAGUUCCAGGAGUUUUAUCUUAUGUAUAAUUUUGUCAUUUUUAGCGUCGUUUUAUUAUACCUACCAAACCCGAUACACUCUGAUACACACUCGUAACUCAUUUCAUUGUCUCCAUUUACUCAUUCCUUCUUACAUAACAAUAAAGAACGUAAAACUAUAUCGUCUGAUGUCAUAAGAAUUGCGCGCAUGUUUAGAUUUUAUGAGAAAGGGGUCGC
Eriocheir sinensis (Chinese mitten crab) is the source of this 1108-nucleotide long non-coding RNA. RefSeq lists it as uncharacterized. Lineage: Eukaryota; Metazoa; Arthropoda; Malacostraca; Decapoda; Varunidae. The transcript is spliced from 3 exons. The record is from RefSeq and is a predicted model, not a curated record.